ACAUUGACAAUAAGAAAAGUGAAGUUUCUGUCCUAAGAAAUGGAAAAGAAAAUACAGUGUAUUGAGCUUCUGCCAUGUGCCAGACACAUUAUCUAUGGGUGCUGUGUGUCACAGAUUAACCUCAUAAGGCCAGUUCCCCAAGAUGGAUUGCCUUGCAUUAAAAUCCUGCCUCUGCCAUUUAACAGCCAUGUGACUUUGGGCAAGUCUACGAAGUCUACAAGCCUCCACUUACUCAUGUGUAAAGUAAGGAUAGUAAUAAAUACCUCUCACGGUUGCUACCAAGUUGACUGUAAAAUGGGGCUGAUAUCACCUACUUGAGAUUGUAAGGAUGAGGAUUAUGUAUGCAAAAUACCCAUCAGAGAUGAAGCAUGGUAGACAUCCAAACAUUUUUAGCUUUGUGCUUGGAAUCUGGAGUCAGCCAGAAAUGAACUUGAGACCAGACUGUACCAUUAACACAUAAAAAUUACCUAACUCCUCUAAAUACCACUUUCAUCUGCAAAAUGGGAACAACAUUAGUAUUUCUUCAUUAGAUUGGUGCCAGAGAGUGUGCUUUGCACACUGCCAGAUAAGGAGUCCAAGGACAAAGAUACUAAGAGACUUUGCUGAGGUCAAGCACAGAAUGGAAAUGAGACCAACAAAAAAAAAGAAAAAGUGCUGUGCUCCCAAAGAAACAAAAAACCUAAAUAGCAGAUGCUUUUUAGCAACUUUCUGAAGAGCUCCAGCACCCACAACUGAAGACAAUAAACAGGAAUUUCAAAAUGUCACAUGGGGACAAGGGUUCCAAAAAAGAAAAGGCUGGAUGCUUUUAAGGAGUUUGGUAUUUAAAAAAAAAAAAAAACUGCUAAUAAAAUUAUGAGUAAGAAUAGUAUCUGGACAAUCAAGUGCUUAAUAAAUCGAUUUUAGACAUUAAGGGUUCUUGCUUGAAUAUUUGAC
Molecule: non-coding RNA, 933 nt
Organism: Macaca mulatta (Rhesus monkey)
Lineage: Eukaryota; Metazoa; Chordata; Mammalia; Primates; Cercopithecidae
Source: RefSeq, a predicted model, not a curated record